GCGGCUCUUCAGCCACGCGAAACGUUCCCACUCGCGGCCCUGCACGAGGAAGUACUCCUCCAGCAUCGCCAGGCUCACCACCGGC
Molecule: transfer RNA, 85 nt
Filed under: Methylibium petroleiphilum PM1
Lineage: Bacteria; Pseudomonadati; Pseudomonadota; Betaproteobacteria; Burkholderiales; Sphaerotilaceae
Description: tRNA-Leu
Source: RNAcentral